CCUACGGGGGGCUGCAGUGGGGAAUAUUGGACAAUGGGGGCAACCCUGAUCCAGCCAUGCCGCGUGUGUGAAGAAGGCCCUCGGGUUGUAAAGCACUUUCAGUGAGGAAGAACGCCUGGUGGUUAAUACCCAUCAGGAAAGACAUCACUCACAGAAGAAGCACCGGCUAACUCCGUGCCAGCAGCCGCGGUAAUACGGAGGGUGCGAGCGUUAAUCGGAAUUACUGGGCGUAAAGCGCGCGUAGGUGGCUUGAUAAGCCGGUUGUGAAAGUCCCGGGCUCAACCUGGGAACGGCAUCCGGAACUGUCAAGCUAGAGUGCAGGAGAGGAAGGUAGAAUUCCCGGUGUAGCGGUGAAAUGCGUAGAGAUCGGGAGGAAUACCAGUGGCGAAGGCGGCCUUCUGGACUGACACUGACACUGAGGUGCGAAAGCGUGGGUAGCAAACAGGAUUAGAUACCCUAGUAGUC
This 465-nucleotide ribosomal RNA is filed under the name Vreelandella stevensii. Its description in RNAcentral is "partial 16S ribosomal RNA". It matches the Rfam family "Bacterial small subunit ribosomal RNA", at positions 338 to 795 of the family's 1533-position model. The record is from RNAcentral. Lineage: Bacteria; Pseudomonadati; Pseudomonadota; Gammaproteobacteria; Oceanospirillales; Halomonadaceae.